Molecule: transfer RNA, 73 nt
Filed under: Myliobatis californica (bat eagle ray)
Lineage: Eukaryota; Metazoa; Chordata; Chondrichthyes; Myliobatiformes; Myliobatidae
Description: tRNA-Thr
Rfam family: tRNA
About the family: Transfer RNA (tRNA) molecules are approximately 80 nucleotides in length. Their secondary structure includes four short double-helical elements and three loops (D, anti-codon, and T loops).
Source: RNAcentral
GUUUUGGUGGCCCAGUUAUUUAAGGCAUCGGUCUUGUAAACCGAAGGUCGGAGGUGAGAUUCCUCCCCAAAAC